GGGUAGCUCAGCUGGCAGAGCACGCGACUGUUAAUCGUGUUGUCGUGGGUUCGAUCCCCA
This 60-nucleotide transfer RNA is filed under the name Acidimicrobiaceae bacterium. RNAcentral's name for it is "tRNA-Asn". It matches the Rfam family "tRNA", at positions 7 to 62 of the family's 71-position model. From Rfam's summary of the family: Transfer RNA (tRNA) molecules are approximately 80 nucleotides in length. Their secondary structure includes four short double-helical elements and three loops (D, anti-codon, and T loops). Lineage: Bacteria; Bacillati; Actinomycetota; Acidimicrobiia; Acidimicrobiales; Acidimicrobiaceae. The record is from RNAcentral.